This 468-nucleotide ribosomal RNA is filed under the name uncultured bacterium. Its description in RNAcentral is "bacterial SSU rRNA". It matches the Rfam family "Bacterial small subunit ribosomal RNA", at positions 29 to 506 of the family's 1533-position model. The record is from RNAcentral.
AUGAACGCUAGCGGCGUGCUUAAUACAUGCAAGUCGAACGAGGAGCCUUUGUAGCAAUACGGAGGUUUCCUAGUGGCGAACGGGUGCGUAACGCGUUGGUGACCUGCCCCGAAGAGAGGGAUAACAGACCGAAAGGUUUGCUAAUACCUCAUGUGGUCGAGAGAAUUAGAUACCUCUUGACUAAAGUCGCAAGACGCUUCGGGAGGGGCCUGCGUCCCAUCAGCUAGUUGGUAGGGUAAUGGCCUACCAAGGCUUCGACGGGUAGGGGACCUGAGAGGGUGGUCCCCCACACUGGCACUGAAACACGGGCCAGACACCUACGGGUGGCAGCAGUAGGGAAUAUUGGGCAAUGGGCGAAAGCCUGACCCAGCAACGCCGCGUGUGCGAUGAAGGCCUUCGGGUCGUAAAGCACUUUUCUGGGAGAUGAGAAAGGACAGUAUCCCAGGAAUAAGUCUCGGCUAACUACGU